AGUCAUCAACUUAACGGAUUCAAACAGACUCUGAAAACCAUGUUGGAUACUGUGAAAACAAUGGUCUUUUGUUUUACAUGUAAAAUGACAAGUUUUUUUUUUAAUUAACCUGAAGUAUUAUGAAAUUAUAAAAGGGUCCAUACUCUAAAUAGAUGUACAGUUCACAAAUGAAUUUUUUUCUUUCUGAUAUUCAAAUCUUUAUAUAUAAAGUUAACUUUGCAUCUUCUCCUGCCACUUGACUGUAGACUUUUACGAUACGUGUACACUUUCAAAAUCUACAUCUUUUGUUUUUUGGGCCUUUUUAUUACAACAUGCCCAAAUAUUACAAAGGUAAAAAAAAACAAUAUGAAACCCAUCAGACCCAACCAAUCCUACAAACAUAACUAAAUACAAAGUAACAGAUCCAACCAAAAAGAAGCCCAAGAAAGGAAACGGAUGAUGAGCCAGCUGAAGACCACAUGUGCGACGAAGAUGAAGAGGCAAAUGCAACAUUUAAUUUUUCAAGGAGACUCGGUGUACUGCUGCAAAAAUUAUAUACAGUAAACCAAAUGACCAUUUCAGUUUGACCAUUUUGAUACUCCAAAAAAAUGAUUUAUUUUUUCUCUUAGUCACAUAUCAAAGAAACUGAAAACUAUAACUUAAAAUGAUAAGUUGAUGAAUUUAGACACCAAAUGACUUAUUUGGCCUCUAAAUGAAUUCAAAAGACACCUCAAAAUCUUGAAUGUUUGUAAACAAGUAAAAUUAUGAGCAUAUCAGAUAUUCAUUAAAGCUAAUACUUUUUUAAAGACAGUAUGUUAAUAGUGUUCAGUGUUGUGAGUAUUAUAGCACAAAAUUUGCUGAAGUUUUCUACAUUCAUAACAAAAUGGUAUGACUAUAGAUGUCCAAUUUGAAAGUUGUUUAUGGAAAAAUUACUAAAAUGAGUGUUUUAGUGCCCCUAAUGAAAAUGACUUUAGGUUUUAGUGGCUAUGAAUAUGAAUCUGUUAGUUUACUUUAUUUUGCUAAGAGAAUCUGUUAGCUUACUUUUAUUCUUUUUAGCUACUUAUAUGCACCUCUAAUAUUUGUGAUGGACCAUUUCACCAAAUUUCUUGAAAUCAAAAGUAAAUUUGUGUUGGCUACAAAUCUAUAACAAUAAAUUAGAUUUCUCUCUUCUCCGUGCGCCAUAUCAUUCUUUUGCAUAGAGCUUUUUGUGACAUCUGGCAAAAAAGCUUAGGCAAUCAAAAUAUUUGGCAAAAAACACGUCAUUGUAGAGAUGUGUUUUCUCCUAGUAGAGAAAACGGUAGUCUAUCAUCUCGGUUCAUAUCCUUCUAGAUGGCUCUGCCCUUUCCUGUCACCUCCUUCAAAACUCCCUUUUUUAUUUGAUUUUCGUCAGGCCCUAACCAGAAAUCGAGCAAUAUAUCGGGUUUCCUUUUUAAAUCUAAUGCCCACCGCUCUACACUUCGUUCCGUCGAAACCCUUUCCAGUGUUUCUGUUUCGUUGUGUUAUCAUGAGAUUCAAGAGAUUGAAGGUAGACGACGAGAAGCUAAUGAAGAGCGACCUUAUAUGAUUCUAUGUCUACGAUGAGGAUGAGUUUGAUGACUCCAAAACAAAUAUGAAACAAACGAUGAUCUUUAUUGUUUACCGCCCAAGCUUCAAUCUUUGUUUUGUUUUGUGUUUUUUUUUUUUACUUUGCUACGCUACGCUCAUGGUGAUUAGUUCCUAACUGAUUGUGUUCUCUGUGAUUUAUCUGGAAAGGAUCUCACUUUGAGCAUGGACAUGCCCAUCUUUAUUAAAGGCCCUACUCAGAAUUAAAGUCUUGGACCCUUUUUUUUAAGGUAAAACAUUUGAGCUUUUUUUCUUAAGCUAAAAAUCCUCAAAAAGUUUGGGCCCUAGACCGGGCCUGACUUUGAGUAAUGGCUCCAGCAAAAGGUACAUCUUCUCUUUUGAUACUUGAUCUGGUUUCAAUAUGGGUACUCUACAUCGACUUAUAUUAGGCUAUUAAUCUCUCUUGCCUGUUCAGGUUAAUUUGAAAACUCCGUCUCUGAUUUUGAAUACUGUAAUCUUACUCUGUAAUUUGUUUUUAGUUUCCCCUUUCUCCCUGAAGUUUGAUUCCUAAGAUGCGUUUCGGUGAUCUGUGGACUCUCCAAGCUCGUUCGUUCUACAUCCCAUCAACUUAAUUUGUUUGAUUACUCACUUAUUCUAUAAAUUUUUUUUGGGUGUUUACUCUAGCGUUAUUGUUGUUGUUUUUGUUGACUAGAUUUUAGUUGCUAAUAAACAUACAUGUUUCUUUGUUGAUAUUGUCCUCCGACUUCUCUUUCAUCACAUUAUCUUAGUUAUUUCUUUAUCUACAA
This is a long non-coding RNA of Brassica napus (rape), 2327 nucleotides long. RefSeq lists it as uncharacterized. The record is from RefSeq and is a predicted model, not a curated record. The transcript is spliced from 2 exons. NCBI's taxonomy places the organism in Eukaryota, Viridiplantae, Streptophyta, Magnoliopsida, Brassicales, Brassicaceae.